Molecule: ribosomal RNA, 133 nt
Filed under: Escherichia coli
Lineage: Bacteria; Pseudomonadati; Pseudomonadota; Gammaproteobacteria; Enterobacterales; Enterobacteriaceae
Also listed under: 2 other names
Description: partial 16S ribosomal RNA
Rfam family: Bacterial small subunit ribosomal RNA
Source: RNAcentral
AAAUUGAAGAGUUUGAUCAUGGCUCAGAUUGAACGCUGGCGGCAGGCCUAACACAUGCAAGUCGAACGGUAACAGGAAACAGCUUGCUGUUUCGCUGACGAGUGGCGGACGGGUGAGUAAUGUCUGGGAAACU